MicroRNA precursor from Chlorocebus sabaeus (green monkey), 81 nucleotides. The record is from Ensembl. Lineage: Eukaryota; Metazoa; Chordata; Mammalia; Primates; Cercopithecidae.
UCCAGCGCCGCCGCCGUCGCCGCCAACCGAGCCGUAGCAGGCUGGGCCGCCAAGGCAAGAUGGUGGACUACAGCGUGUGGG